UGAGGAAUAUUGGUCAAUGGGCGAGAGCCUGAACCAGCCAAGUAGCGUGCAGGACGACGGCCCUAUGGGUUGUAAACUGCUUUUAUGUGGGGAUAAAGUGCGUGACGUGUCAUGCAUUGCAGGUACCACAUGAAUAAGGACCGGCUAAUUCCGUGCCAGCAGCCGCGGUAAUACGGAAGGUCCGGGCGUUAUCCGGAUUUAUUGGGUUUAAAGGGAGCGUAGGCUGUCUAUUAAGCGUGUUGUGAAAUUUACCGGCUCAACCGGUGGCUUGCAGCGCGAACUGGUCGACUUGAGUAUGCAGGAAGUAGGCGGAAUUCAUGGUGUAGCGGUGAAAUGCUUAGAUAUCAUGACGAACUCCGAUUGCGCAGGCAGCUUACUGUAGCAUAACUGACGCUGAUGCUCGAAAGUGCGGGUAUCAAACAGG
This 424-nucleotide ribosomal RNA is filed under the name Verrucomicrobiota bacterium. RNAcentral describes it as "Verrucomicrobia bacterium partial 16S ribosomal RNA". It matches the Rfam family "Bacterial small subunit ribosomal RNA", at positions 355 to 776 of the family's 1533-position model. The record is from RNAcentral. RNAcentral also lists the same sequence under 2 other names. Lineage: Bacteria; Pseudomonadati; Verrucomicrobiota.